Molecule: ribosomal RNA, 468 nt
Filed under: uncultured bacterium
Lineage: Bacteria
Description: partial 16S ribosomal RNA
Rfam family: Bacterial small subunit ribosomal RNA
Source: RNAcentral
GACGAACGCUGGCGGCGUGCUUAACACAUGCAAGUCGAACGGAAAGGCCCUGCUUUUGUGGGGUUGUCGAGUGGGGAACGCGGGAGUAACACGUGAGUAUCCUGCCCUUGACUUUGGGAGAUCUUCAGGAAACUGGGGCUAAUACCGCGUAGGAGCUCCUGCUGCAUGGGGGUGGUUGGAAAGUGUCGGCGGUGGGGGCUGGACUCGCGGGUUAUGCGCUGGUUUGUCUGGUAGUUGCGUACGAAGGCUAUGACGGAUAGGCGGCCUGAGAGGGUUGCCGGGCACAUUGGGCCUGAGCUAGGGCGCAGUCGGCUACGGGAGGCAGCAGUGGGGAAUAUUGCGCAGUGGGCGGAAGCCUGAGGCAGAGACGCCGCGUGCGGGAUGACGGGCUUCGGGUUGUGAACCGAUUUCGCCUGUGCCGAAGCGUGAGUGACGGUAAUGGGUAAAGAAGCACCGGCUAACUACGUG